GUGUAGCUCAGCUGUAAAGUGCUCGACUGCAAAUUGAGAGGUAUCCGGUUCAAACCCGGGUGUCACCU
Molecule: non-coding RNA, 68 nt
Organism: Trichonephila clavipes
Lineage: Eukaryota; Metazoa; Arthropoda; Arachnida; Araneae; Nephilidae
Source: the annotation of a GenBank genome assembly